UACUCUCUUGAAUAGACUCGCCACAGCCUAAGUCCGGAUGGCUCCUUCUUCAGAUGGUUGCAAUGGACUUCUUGGAUCGCUUGGAAGCUCACUAAACUCCCCUCCUCAAGCUUGGAUUGAUUAUAAGUCCAAGCUUGCAAGUGAGCUUCAGUGAAACUUCUCACCAGUGGCGCAUCACCACUCCUUUCUCAAUUCUCCAUUGCUCCACACAAUGGCAAAGUCUUCCUCUUUCAACUCGGAUGGAUGGUGAACCAAGAACACCUCUUGUGAACCUGAAACAUCACUCAAACUCCAGCAAAGAUAAGACACAAGUGCAUUGGGUCAACCCUUGAUACAUCAUCAAGUUUGAACACCAAUGUCUUUAAGCAAUGCAACAGAUUAAACU
RNAcentral lists this long non-coding RNA (385 nucleotides) under Brassica napus (rape). RNAcentral's name for it is "long non-coding RNA (BNAP_LNC002553)". Lineage: Eukaryota; Viridiplantae; Streptophyta; Magnoliopsida; Brassicales; Brassicaceae. The record is from RNAcentral.